RNAcentral lists this unclassified non-coding RNA (212 nucleotides) under Hevea brasiliensis (rubber tree). The record is from RNAcentral. Lineage: Eukaryota; Viridiplantae; Streptophyta; Magnoliopsida; Malpighiales; Euphorbiaceae.
AAGGAGGAGAACUGUAAUUAUAGAAAAUGGAAUGAAGUCGGAAGAUUAAAGUUAUUAGUCCAAUGGAAUUUUGUUUAUUAAUUGUUGCUUUGCUUUGCCAAUGUUUAUCAACGAUAGACAUAUAGUUAGCCUCCGAAACUGCAGAACAUAAAGAUAGUUAAGUACUUCUCUAUUUUUCAGUUAGAGAGCUCUCUCAAUUAAAAGCUAGAGGA